UUCCAUUGGGGUGGCAAUUUCAUGGCCUAAAAUCUAAACUCAAGGAAUUUUACACUUCAAAUGGAUGCAGUUAUUGCAUGUAAAUUGAUACUGCAAUAAUUCGAUUUUUGAAAAAUGCAGGUACCCUCUUGCAGUAAGCACUGCUGGCUGCCCACCCAACCGCCCUUACCCCCUUUUUUGCUCCUGGAACUCUUGUGUCACAGGCCAAUCCUGAUGAGUCUACGUUGGUGAAGUGUGAGCCUCCCAUUCUCCUUGCCAGUGAUUGGCUUACAGGUCCCCUUCAAAUUAAGUCAUCUCUUCUUCAAGGCUCAGUCAUAUAAAUUUCAAAGGACACGUGGCCAUGCUCCAUACCAGCUGUUCUGAGAACCAGUCCUGGAUGACAUCAGUUGGGAUUGUUGACAGACUUGAAAAGUACCCAGAUGACAUCUGAGGACGGGAAUGACUAAGAGAAGGAUUCUAGAUGCAAAGCACUUCAUCAAAACACAUUUCUCCGACUAGCCCAUGAUCCCAGAGUCAGUCCUGAAGCCCAUGCUUUCUGUGAUCCAGGCUUCAUUAUCCUAGGAGUUGAUGGGAGAACUGUUGAUAAACAAACCCAUGAAUCGCCUCCAACCCUUUAAGCCCAUCACUUUGACCUUCUCAUUGGGGCGCUCUGCCGAGCUUUGAACCAGGAGCUCACCGGUGGAUUUGUGACUCAUCUCCCAAAUGCUCCCUGAAGAGCUGCAAAUAAACAGUGGACUGGCCAACAGACACGCAGCAGGGGAGAGUAGAGACGCCUCCAGAGGACCCGAGGGAGCUGAUGGGAGGGUGUGGGGCUGACUCCAUGUACUCCGGAACCAGACAUGGGAAUCACAGCAGACUAGUUCCAAUCACCUGAGCUUUGCAGUAUUUCAAAUACCUCCCCCAAAAGGCUUUAGCAAACUCAAUAGUGCCAUGUUGGCACCAGGGAAAGCAACACUCCUGUCACUAAGGGGCUGGGAUGUGAUCUGGAGUCACUUUGGGCAGGCUCAGAAGGUCGUGACACCACCACAAAUGAGGCCAGCCAGUGCCGUCUGGUUCAGAUACUGGCUGAGAGCAAUCCUCAAUUUUCCUCUAGUUCCUUGCUGGGGAUUCUAGCCCAUGUUGCUCUAGAACAGUGGUUCUCUUCUGAGGACGAUUCUGCCCCCAAUCUCCCACCAAGGGGACAUUUGGCAAUGUUUGGAGACAUUUUUGAUUGUCACAGCUUGAAGGAGGAUGAUAGUGGCAUCUCAUGGGUAGAUCCAGGGAUGCUGCUAAACUCCUACAAUGCACAGGGCAGCCCCUACAACAAAUUAUUCAGCCUCAAAUGCCAACAGUGCUGAGGCUGAGAAACUCUGGUCUAGAAUCAGGGCACUUGAAACCUCCUGGGCAUCCAAUCUGGAAUCAUGACCCCUAAGCACCUUAGGGAAGCUAUGGACUCUGUCCCUAGGGAAAAAAAAAUACUACAUAUAUAUUAAUAUACGCAUACGCAGACAAAGCUUUGCAGCUUUGCAGGAGGGUUCAUCAACCCCUGGUGUCCACUCAUGAAUACCCCUCAAUCCCAGACACCCAAGGAUAUUGAGAUAGGGUACUCUUAGGGGACAGUCUAUUUUUUAUGCUUACAAAUAAAAUGCUGUGUCAAGACCAGCGAUAUGAGGCCUGCUUAUGGCAUACAUAACUGGGACACAGCAUGCUCAAAGUCAUAGGUCAGGAAAAUCCCAAACAAUCGGAGACAGGGCUGGGCUUACCAUGCCA
This is a long non-coding RNA of Gorilla gorilla gorilla (western lowland gorilla), 1749 nucleotides long. RefSeq lists it as uncharacterized. The record is from RefSeq and is a predicted model, not a curated record. The transcript has 3 exons. NCBI's taxonomy places the organism in Eukaryota, Metazoa, Chordata, Mammalia, Primates, Hominidae.